This 460-nucleotide ribosomal RNA is filed under the name uncultured bacterium. RNAcentral describes it as "partial 16S ribosomal RNA". It matches the Rfam family "Bacterial small subunit ribosomal RNA", at positions 338 to 795 of the family's 1533-position model. The record is from RNAcentral.
CCUACGGGAGGCAGCAGUGAGGAAUAUUGGUCAAUGGACGUGAGUCUGAACCAGCCAAGUAGCGUGAAGGAUGACUGCCCUAUGGGUUGUAAACUUCUUUUAUAUGGGAAUAAAAUGUUCCACGUGUGGGAUUUUGUAUGUACCAUAUGAAUAAGGAUCGGCUAACUCCGUGCCAGCAGCCGCGGUAAUACGGAGGAUCCGAGCGUUAUCCGGAUUUAUUGGGUUUAAAGGGAGCGUAGGUGGAUUGUUAAGUCAGUUGUGAAAGUUUGCGGCUCAACCGUAAAAUUGCAGUUGAAACUGGGAGUCUUGAGUACGGUAGAGGUAGGCGGAAUGCGUGGUGUAGCGGUGAAAUGCUUAGAUAUCACGAAGAACUCCGAUUGCGAAGGCAGCUCACUGGGCUGCAACUGACACUGAGGCACGAAAGUGUGGGUAUCAAACAGGAUUAGAUACCCGUGUAGUC